GUGGGGAAUUUUGGACAAUGGGCGCAAGCCUGAUCCAGCCAUGCCGCGUGCAGGAUGAAGGCCUUCGGGUUGUAAACUGCUUUUGUACGGAACGAAACGGCUCUUUCUAAUAAAGAGGGCUAAUGACGGUACCGUAAGAAUAAGCACCGGCUAACUACGUGCCAGCAGCCGCGGUAAUACGUAGGGUGCGAGCGUUAAUCGGAAUUACUGGGCGUAAAGCGUGCGCAGGCGGUGAUGUAAGACAGAUGUGAAAUCCCCGGGCUCAACCUGGGAACUGCAUUUGUGACUGCAUCGCUGGAGUGCGGCAGAGGGGGAUGGAAUUCCGCGUGUAGCAGUGAAAUGCGUAGAUAUGCGGAGGAACACCGAUGGCGAAGGCAAUCCCCUGGGCCUGCACUGACGCUCAUGCACGAAAGCGUGGGGAGCAAACAGGAUUAGAUACCCGGGUAGUCC
RNAcentral lists this ribosomal RNA (450 nucleotides) under uncultured bacterium. Its description in RNAcentral is "partial 16S ribosomal RNA". It matches the Rfam family "Bacterial small subunit ribosomal RNA", at positions 354 to 796 of the family's 1533-position model. The record is from RNAcentral.